ACAGCAGUAGCCGCGGUAAUACGUAGGGUGCAAGCGUUAAUCGGAAUUACUGGGCGUAAAGCGUGCGCAGGCGGUUUGUUAAGACAGAUGUGAAAUCCCCGGGCUUAACCUGGGAACUGCAUUUGUGACUGGCAAGCUAGAGUAUGGCAGAGGGGGGUGGAAUUCCGCGUGUAGCAGUGAAAUGCGUAGAUAUGCGGAGGAACACCGAUGGCGAAGGCAGCCCCCUGGGCCAAUACUGACGCUCAUGCACGAAAGCGUGGGGAGCAAACAGGAUUAGAUACCCCUGUAGUCCCUGUCUCUUAUAC
RNAcentral lists this ribosomal RNA (305 nucleotides) under uncultured bacterium. RNAcentral describes it as "partial 16S ribosomal RNA". It matches the Rfam family "Bacterial small subunit ribosomal RNA", at positions 506 to 807 of the family's 1533-position model. The record is from RNAcentral.